CAGUAGCCGCGGUAAUACGAAGGGGGCUAGCGUUGUUCGGAAUUGCUGGGCGUAAAGCGCACGUAGGCGGAUAUUUAAGUCAGGUGUGAAAUCCCAGAGCUCAACUCUGGAACUGCCUUUGAUACUGGGUAUCUUGAGUAUGGAAGAGGUGAGUGGAAUUCCGAGUGUAGAGGUGAAAUUCGUAGAUAUUCGGAGGAACACCAGUGGCGAAGGCGGCUCACUGGUCCAUUACUGACGCUGUGGUGCGAAAGCGUGGGGAGCAAACAGGAUUAGAUACCCCCGUAGUCCCUGUCUCUUAUAC
This 301-nucleotide ribosomal RNA is filed under the name uncultured bacterium. RNAcentral describes it as "partial 16S ribosomal RNA". It matches the Rfam family "Bacterial small subunit ribosomal RNA", at positions 509 to 807 of the family's 1533-position model. The record is from RNAcentral.